AUGAACGCUGGCGGCGUGCCUAAUACAUGCAAGUCGAGCGAACGGACGAGAAGCUUGCUUCUCUGAUGUUAGCGGCGGACGGGUGAGUAACACGUGGAUAACCUACCUAUAAGACUGGGAUAACUUCGGGAAACCGGAGCUAAUACCGGAUAAUAUUUUGAACCGCAUGGUUCAAAAGUGAAAGACGGUCUUGCUGUCACUUAUAGAUGGAUCCGCGCUGCAUUAGCUAGUUGGUAAGGUAACGGCUUACCAAGGCAACGAUGCAUAGCCGACCUGAGAGGGUGAUCGGCCACACUGGAACUGAGACACGGUCCAGACUCCUACGGGAGGCAGCAGUAGGGAAUCUUCCGCAAUGGGCGAAAGCCUGACGGAGCAACGCCGCGUGAGUGAUGAAGGUCUUCGGAUCGUAAAACUCUGUUAUUAGGGAAGAACAUAUGUGUAAGUAACUGUGCACAUCUUGACGGUACCUAAUCAGUAAGCCACGGCUAACUACGUG
Molecule: ribosomal RNA, 496 nt
Filed under: uncultured bacterium
Lineage: Bacteria
Description: partial 16S ribosomal RNA
Rfam family: Bacterial small subunit ribosomal RNA
Source: RNAcentral